This 475-nucleotide ribosomal RNA is filed under the name uncultured bacterium. Its description in RNAcentral is "bacterial SSU rRNA". It matches the Rfam family "Bacterial small subunit ribosomal RNA", at positions 29 to 506 of the family's 1533-position model. The record is from RNAcentral.
UUGAACGCUGGCGGCAUGCUUUACACAUGCAAGUCGAACGGUAACAGGUUAAGCUGACGAGUGGCGAACGGGUGAGUAAUGCAUCGGAACGUGCCCAGUAGUGGGGGAUAGCCCGGCGAAAGCCGGAUCAAUACCGCAUACGACCUGAGGGUGAAAGCAGGGGACCGCAAGGCCUUGCGCUAUUGGAGCGGCCGAUGUCAGAUUAGCUAGAUGGUGGGGUAAAAGCCUACCAAGGCGACGAUCUGUAGCUGGUCUGAGAGGACGACCAGCCACACUGGGACUGAGACACGGCCCAGACUCCUACGGGAGGCAGCAGUGGGGAAUUUUGGACAAUGGGCGCAAGCCUGAUCCAGCCAUGCCGCGUGCGGGAAGAAGGCCUUCGGGUUGUAAACCGCUUUUGUCAGGGAAGAAACGGUCUGGGCUAAUACCCUGGGCUAAUGACGGUACCUGAAGAAUAAGCACCGGCUAACUACGU